Molecule: unclassified non-coding RNA, 271 nt
Filed under: Hevea brasiliensis (rubber tree)
Lineage: Eukaryota; Viridiplantae; Streptophyta; Magnoliopsida; Malpighiales; Euphorbiaceae
Source: RNAcentral
CACUAUAAAAAUUCUCUUUUCCCCCGCCAAGCUCUACAAUUUCUGUACCUAUUUACUUAUACUCAUUUCAUAUGUUUUAAUACAGGCAUGCCAAAAUUUAAAUGAAUAUUAGUCACAUGAUGUCUUGUUGCAUGAUUUCUGUUUGCUAUUGAUCCUACAUUUUUUCUAUGUAUCUGGAGUUUAGCUUAUUUUAAUGUAUAAUUUUCCUAUGUAAUUCUGUUCUUGCAGUUAAUGGUAUGUUCUGGUGAACUCUAAUAUCAUGGAAUUGCAG